AAAAAGUGUAAAGGGGAUACCUAGGAAAAUCAUGAACUAGUUAUCUAAAAUAUAUUACAGAAAAGAUAAAAGAUGCAUAUGCAUUUUUCAGUGUGCAUAGUGUUGAUUGUGCCUAUACAAGUGGUGUCGUUGAUAAAUAAAGGCCAAUACCCAGAUUCACUGGAAACAUUGACAGAAGUUGAAGACUGUCCUAGAACUGCACACGAGUGGCAGAAAGCUGCAAACAAGAAGAAUUGCGACAUAGUUCAACAUAAUACAGACAAAGCUUUCGCGUACCAUUGUGUGAUAGAUACGUCGAGGAAUGCAACUGUGGAAGUAUGUGUUCCAUCUUUGCAAAUGUUAGGAUACUGUGCUGAUUAUAGCGAUGCUGAUGCUAAAAUAAUCAAUAAUCUUGAAUGCACUGACUUCAACCCGCC
Saccostrea cuccullata (small rock oyster) is the source of this 416-nucleotide long non-coding RNA. RefSeq lists it as uncharacterized. NCBI's taxonomy places the organism in Eukaryota, Metazoa, Mollusca, Bivalvia, Ostreida, Ostreidae. The record is from RefSeq and is a predicted model, not a curated record. The transcript has 4 exons.